This 1391-nucleotide long non-coding RNA is filed under the name Sinocyclocheilus anshuiensis. Its description in RNAcentral is "lncRNA (ENSSANG00000030164.1)". Lineage: Eukaryota; Metazoa; Chordata; Actinopteri; Cypriniformes; Cyprinidae. The record is from RNAcentral.
UUUGUUUGAAUCUAGCGCAGAGGUGUCCUGUGGAGAGUUAAAGUGAUGGUUCACCUAAAAAUGACUUUUCACUUACUCAGAAGAAACUCAUUGGGAAGUUGUCAAACUUGUCUGAACACAAGACAUUUGAACAAUGUUGGUAAUAAAACCGUUUUCAGAAGUCUGUAGCUAUACUCUGCUAAUCUUGGGCUUUGACUGGGACCUAAAUUUGACCAAAGGACAAAGUGACUCCACCCUCUAUCAACUUGGAGGGAGGUGUUGGAGCGCAGGUAAGAUGGACAACAUUGAGCUGGAUGUAAUGUUAUUCUCCUUUAAGGAUUGAUGCCCGCUCGUUGGCUUUGCGGUCCAUGUUGAUGUGGCUCAUGCAAGAGUUCUAAGCCCUUCUAGCCUUGUUUGACCUUAAAUGGCUAAAUGCUACAACUCUGUUGUACCUCAUUUAUACAGAAGUCUCAAUAUUCUUGUUUCUUUAAAUUAGUUAAUGAGUUAAUUGUUACAAUCAGGUACUGACAAGGCCAUAGGAACAUUCUCCAGUAGCUGCCUAGGUGAGGAGUCCCUCAUGAACUGAAGACUAACCAGUGUCCCUUGCAAUGUUUCCAACACCUGGCAUAUUGGGCUCGUUGCUGGGUCAACAGCUUUAAGGUGUGUUACUUGAAAAUGAAGGCAGAAUGGUUCAUUUGGAUCAUCGCUACCAACUGCAACCCAUCAAGUUGCAUUUCUGACAAGUUGCUCUGGUGUAGUGAUUGACUUAUUUGGUUUUGUAAUUGAAUUGUACUUAUUCGUGAUUUUAUUGUAUUAUGCAUUACUGCUUCCCUUAUUGUAAACUUUUUUUUUAUUUAUUUUUUUUGUCUAUGUACUGUUUUUGUGCACAUCACCCAUAUCUUAGUUUUUACUGCUGUUUUGCACAGUCAUAGCCCUGAAGCUGAAACCACUCUCUGCUCACCUUUAGCUUGACAGAACUGAAUUCUACUACAGGACAUGCUGACACAUCUGCAGUUUGUCCCAGAGCCCACAUCAUAACCAGGAAGGGCAAUGCAAAUAACUCCUUUUGAAUCUUCAUGUGCCAUAUUGUCAGCUGGGCAUCCUGGAGGAGCUAAAUGUGCUCUUACCCUGUUCCCUGGGGCCUGUUCUUUGUACGUCGCUAACUCUGUUAGCUGGAUUUGAUUGUUGAUUAUUUGGCAUGAUCUUGGAUUAUUUGGUUCUUCGAAGCUCAUCCUGGUAUUGAUGAUUUGGCAUGAUCUUGGAUUAUUUGGCUCUUCGAAGCUCAUCCUGGACUUGCUAUCAUAGCAACAGGUCCGUAAGCUUAAACCUGCUUGGGAGCAGGCUUAUUUCAUGUAAAUCGGAUUAGAUGGCAUCUUUUCAAGUGGAAUUGAUGUUGAAAAUCUAUCCCAGCC